GAUGAACGCUGGCGGCGUGCCUAAUACAUGCAAGUCGAGCGAACAGACGAGGAGCUUGCUCCUCUGACGUUAGCGGCGGACGGGUGAGUAACACGUGGAUAACCUACCUAUAAGACUGGGAUAACUUCGGUAAACCGGAGCUAAUACCGGAUAAUAUAUUGAACCGCAUGGUUCAAUAGUGAAAGACGGUUUUGCUGUCACUUAUAGAUGGAUCCGCGCCGCAUUAGCUAGUUGGUAAGGUAACGGCUUACCACGGCAACGAUGCGUAGCCGACCUGAGAGGGUGAUAGGCCACACUGGAAAUGAGACACGGUCCAGACUCCUACGGGAGGCAGCAGUAGGGAAUCUUCAGCAAUGGGCGAAAGCCUGACGGAGCAACGCCGCGUGAGUGAUGAAGGUCUUCGGAUCGUAAAACUCUGUUAUUAGGGAAGAACAAAUGUGUAAGUAACUAUGCACGUCUUGACGGUAACUAAUCAGAAAGCCACGGCUAACUACGUG
Molecule: ribosomal RNA, 497 nt
Filed under: uncultured bacterium
Lineage: Bacteria
Description: partial 16S ribosomal RNA
Rfam family: Bacterial small subunit ribosomal RNA
Source: RNAcentral